AGUUGGGGAUAGCCUGUGGAAACACAGGGGUAAUACCGGAUGAGAUGUCAAUGAUUGAACUAUGGCAUGAAAGUGGGCCACGGCCACGCUGCAGGAUGAGCUUGCGGCUCAUUAGCUAGUUGGGGGUGUAACGGACCACCAAGGCGACGAUGAGUAGCCGGCCUGAGAGGGUGAACGGCCACAUUGGGACUGAGACACGGCCCAGACUCCUACGGGAGGCAGCAGCUAAGAAUAUUCCGCAAUGGGGGGAACCCUGACGGAGCGACGCCGCGUGAACGAUGAAGGGCCAGAGAUGUUGUAAAGUUCUUUUAUCGCUGAAGAAUAACCGGUGCAGGGAAUGGCACCGGGAUGACGUUAGGCGAUGAAUAAGCCACGGCUAACUACGUGCCAGCCGCAGC
RNAcentral lists this ribosomal RNA (398 nucleotides) under uncultured bacterium. RNAcentral describes it as "bacterial SSU rRNA". It matches the Rfam family "Bacterial small subunit ribosomal RNA", at positions 135 to 518 of the family's 1533-position model. The record is from RNAcentral.